GCAGGAGGUUGCUGCUAUCAGAAUCCGGCUAAGACAUGCAAGUCAAGGGGCCCUCGGGUCACUGGCAGACUGCUCAGCAUCACGUCGAUAAUCUGCCCUUAGGUCAGGGAUAACCUUGGGAAACUGAGGCUAACACCUGGCAGGGAAUAGUUACUGGAAUGUUCUAUUCCUGAAAGCUUCGGUGCCUAAGGAUGAGUCGGCGGCCCAUCAGGUUGUUGGCGGUGUAAUGGACCACCAAGCCUAAGACGGGUAGGGGCCAUGAGAGUGGUUGCCCCGAGAAGGACACUGAGACACUGGUCCUAGCCCUACGGGGUGCAGCAGUUACGAAACCUUUACAAUGCACGCAAGUGUGAUAAGGGGAUUCUGAGUGCUUAUGUAUUGCAUAGGCUUUUGCCAAGAGUAAAGAUCUUGGCGAAUAAGUGGUGGGCAAGACUGGUGCCAGCCGCCGCGGUAACCCCAGCGCCACAAGUGGGAACCAUAAUUAUUGGGUCUAAAGCAUCCGUAGCCGGUUAAGUAAAUUCUCUGUGAAAUCGUCGGGCCUAACCCGACGGCGUGCAGGGAACACUGCUUAACUUGAGACCAGGAGAGGUAGAAGGUAUUCUAGGGGGAGCGGUAAAAUGUUAUAAUCCCUGGAGGACCACCGAUGGCGAAGGCAUUCUACCAGAAUGGAUCUGACGGUGAGGGAUGAAAGCUAGGGGAGCGAUCCGGAUUAGAUACCCGAGUAGUCCUAGCUGUAAACGCAGCGUGCCAGAUGUUGCACAAUCCACGAGAUUGUGCAGUGUCGAAACGAAGGUGUUAAGCACGCCACCUGGGAAGUACGGCCGCAAGACUGAAACUUAAAGGAAUUGGCGGGGGCACACUACAAGGGGUGCGGCGUGCGGUUUAAUUGAAUUCAACGCCGGGAAUCUUACCGGGGGCGACGGCAGGAUGAAGGUCAGUCUAAAGGGCUUACCAGACGAGCCGAGAGGAGGUGCAUGGCCGCCGUCAGCUCGUGCCGUGAGGUGUCCUGUUAAGUCAGGCAACGAGCGAGACCUGUAUUUCUAUUUGCUAACGCGCUAGUAAUGGUGAGCGAGCACAAUAGGAAGACUGCCUUGGAAACAAGGAGGAAGGUGCAGGCUACGGUAGGUGGUAUGCCCCGAAUCUCCCGGGCUACACGCGCGCAACAAUGGUAGGUACAAUGGGAUGCAACUCUGUAAAGAGAAGCCAAUCCUCGAAAACCUACCUCAGUACGAAUUGAGGGUUGUAACCCACCCUCAUGACGCCGGAAUCCCUAGUAAUCAGAGUUUAGCAUACUCCGGUGAAUAUGUCCCUGUGCCUUGCACACACCGCCCGUCAAUCCAACCGAGCAGGGUUUAGGUGAGCCGCAUUGUGAAAAUGUGUCGAACCUAAGCUCAGCAAGGUGGGAUAAGUCGACACAAGGUA
Molecule: ribosomal RNA, 1422 nt
Filed under: metagenome
Description: bacterial SSU rRNA
Rfam family: Archaeal small subunit ribosomal RNA
Source: RNAcentral